UCAUGGUUAGCUCAGUUGGUAGAGCACUCCACUGGAAAUGGAGAGGUCCCUGGUUCGAUCCCAGAACCAGGCG
This 73-nucleotide transfer RNA is filed under the name Ixodes scapularis (black-legged tick). It matches the Rfam family "tRNA". From Rfam's summary of the family: Transfer RNA (tRNA) molecules are approximately 80 nucleotides in length. Their secondary structure includes four short double-helical elements and three loops (D, anti-codon, and T loops). Lineage: Eukaryota; Metazoa; Arthropoda; Arachnida; Ixodida; Ixodidae. The record is from Rfam by way of RNAcentral.